Molecule: long non-coding RNA, 389 nt
Organism: Hemicordylus capensis (graceful crag lizard)
Lineage: Eukaryota; Metazoa; Chordata; Lepidosauria; Squamata; Cordylidae
Exons: 2
Source: RefSeq, a predicted model, not a curated record
AGUUGGCCUGCUGCUGCCCUCUCUCCCCACCACCCCGGUCUUUCCUGCCACAUGGUCUUGAAGAAGACGAGAAAACCAGCCUGAGCUGGAAAGCAAACUGGAAGUGUUGUCCCAAUGCAAAAAGACAAGGAGCCGGGUCUCACGAUCCCAGCCUAUGCCAGGGAUUUCAAACAGGACUGAAACUUCUUUGGAGAGCUCAAAUGAAGCGAAAGAAAGAAAAGAAAAGAAAAAGAAAGAAAGAAAGAAAGAGAACAUGACUCAGGCGUACUGGUUCUUUGAAGGCAAUGAUAAGGGUGACACCUGGUGGUUUUGGAUGGAUAUAAGUCAGACCUACAGAUGUGAAUUUUUUUCAGAUGUGACAAAAAUCAUACAUACAUGCUCACACCACC